This 465-nucleotide ribosomal RNA is filed under the name Vreelandella stevensii. RNAcentral describes it as "partial 16S ribosomal RNA". It matches the Rfam family "Bacterial small subunit ribosomal RNA", at positions 338 to 795 of the family's 1533-position model. The record is from RNAcentral. Lineage: Bacteria; Pseudomonadati; Pseudomonadota; Gammaproteobacteria; Oceanospirillales; Halomonadaceae.
CCUACGGGUGGCAGCAGUGGGGAAUAUUGGACAAUGGGCGAAAGCCUGAUCCAGCCAUGCCACGUGUGUGAAGAAGGCCUUCGGGUUGUAAAGCACUUUCAGUGGGGAAGAAAGCCUUGGGGCUAAUACCCUCGAGGAAGGACAUCACCCACAGAAGAAGCACCGGCUAACUCCGUGCCAGCAGCCGCGGUAAUACGGAGGGUGCGAGCGUUAAUCGGAAUUACUGGGCGUAAAGCGCGCGUAGGCGGUCUGAUAAGCCGGUUGUGAAAGCCCCGGGCUCAACCUGGGAACGGCAUCCGGAACUGUCAGGCUAGAGUGCAGGAGAGGAAGGUAGAAUUCCCGGUGUAGCGGUGAAAUGCGUAGAGAUCGGGAGGAAUACCAGUGGCGAAGGCGGCCUUCUGGACUGACACUGACGCUGAGGUGCGAAAGCGUGGGUAGCAAACAGGAUUAGAUACCCCUGUAGUC